AUUGCAGUAGGGAAUCUUCGGCAAUGGGCGCAAGCCUGACCGAGCGAUGCCGCGUGAGGGAAGAAGGCCUUCGGGUCGUAAACCUCUGUCAGGAGGGACGAAAUGUGACGGUACCUCCAGAGGAAGCCACGGCUAACUACGUGCCAGCAGCCGCGGUAACACGUAGGUGGCGAGCGUUAUUCGGAAUCACUGGGCGUAAAGGGUCCGCAGGGGGUCUGCCAAGUCCGGUGUGAAAGCCCGCGGCUCAACCGCGGAAGUGCACUGGAAACUGGCGGACUCGAGUACAGGAGAGGAGAGCGGAAUUCCCGGUGUAGCGGUGGAAUGCGUAGAUAUCGGGAGGAACACCGACGGCGAAGGCAGCUCUCUGGCCUGUCACUGACCCUCAGGGACGAAAGCGUGGGCAGCGAACAGGAUUAGAUACCCUGGUAGUCCACGCCGUAAACGUUGUGCACUCGAUGCGGGGCCUUCGGGUUCCGUGUCCAAGCCAACGCGUUAAGUGCACCGCCUGGGGACUACGGCCGCAAGGCUAAAACUCAAAGGAAUUGACGG
This 549-nucleotide ribosomal RNA is filed under the name uncultured Pseudomonadota bacterium. Its description in RNAcentral is "bacterial SSU rRNA". It matches the Rfam family "Bacterial small subunit ribosomal RNA", at positions 348 to 916 of the family's 1533-position model. The record is from RNAcentral. Lineage: Bacteria; Pseudomonadati; Pseudomonadota.